RNAcentral lists this non-coding RNA (111 nucleotides) under Pyramidobacter piscolens. Its description in RNAcentral is "TPP sequence". It matches the Rfam family "TPP riboswitch aptamer (THI element)". Rfam says of the family: Vitamin B(1) in its active form thiamin pyrophosphate (TPP) is an essential coenzyme that is synthesised by coupling of pyrimidine and thiazole moieties in bacteria. The previously detected thiamin-regulatory element, thi box was extended, resulting in a new, highly conserved RNA secondary structure, the THI element, which is widely distributed in eubacteria and also occurs in some archaea. Analysis of operon structures identified a large number of new candidate thiamin-regulated genes, mostly transporters, in various prokaryotic organisms. The record is from RNAcentral. Lineage: Bacteria; Thermotogati; Synergistota; Synergistia; Synergistales; Dethiosulfovibrionaceae.
UUCAUCACGCAGGGGAGCCCGCACAGACGGGCUGGGAGGAGGCCGCGCGGCCUCGACCCUUUGAACCUGAUACGGGAUCAUGCCGGCGAAGGAAGCGCUUUCUGAAAAGGA